Molecule: ribosomal RNA, 255 nt
Filed under: uncultured bacterium
Lineage: Bacteria
Description: partial 16S ribosomal RNA
Rfam family: Bacterial small subunit ribosomal RNA
Source: RNAcentral
UACGUAGGGCGCAAGCGUUGUCCGGAAUUAUUGGGCGUAAAGAGCUCGUAGGCGGUUUGUCGCGUCUGCUGUGAAAACCUAAGGCUCAACCUUGGGCUUGCAGUGGGUACGGGCAGACUAGAGUGCGGUAGGGGUGACUGGAAUUCCUGGGUGUAGCGGUGGAAUGCGCAGAUAUCAGGAGGAACACCGAUGGCGAAGGCAGAUCACUGGGCCGCAACUGACGCUGAGGAGCGGAAAGCAUGGGGAGCGAACAGG